RNAcentral lists this ribosomal RNA (237 nucleotides) under uncultured bacterium. RNAcentral describes it as "partial 16S ribosomal RNA". It matches the Rfam family "Bacterial small subunit ribosomal RNA", at positions 15 to 233 of the family's 1533-position model. The record is from RNAcentral.
GAUCAUGGCUCAGGAUGAACGCUGGCGGCGUGCUUAACACAUGCAAGUCGAGCGAAGCACAUAAGUUUGAUUCUUCGGAUGAAGACUUUUGUGACUGAGCGGCGGACGGGUGAGGUAACGCGUGGGUAACCUGCCUCAUACAGGGGGAUAACAGUUAGAAAUGGCUGCUAAUACCGCAUAAGACCACAGUACUGCAUGGUACAGUGGUAAAAACUCCGGUGGUAUGAGAUGGACCCG